GUCGUAACAAGGUAUCCCUACCGGAAGGUGGGGAUGGAUCACCUCCUUUCUAAGGAUAAUAAAAAUCAUCAUCUUCAGUUUUGAAAGACUUAGAUUGAAAAAGUAAGUUUUUCUUUUUUUAAGCGCCAAAGGGCCUAUAGCUCAGUUGGUUAGAGCACACUCGUAUACAAGAUGCCGUG
This 179-nucleotide unclassified non-coding RNA is filed under the name Sugarcane yellows phytoplasma type I. RNAcentral describes it as "partial contains 16S ribosomal RNA and 16S-23S ribosomal RNA intergenic spacer". Lineage: Bacteria; Bacillati; Mycoplasmatota; Mollicutes; Acholeplasmatales; Acholeplasmataceae. The record is from RNAcentral.